UGGUGUCCCACCACUCGGUGCUUAUCUUUGAAGCGGUCUCAUCCAGCACCACGAAGGCUGAGCCAUUGCCGUCCAUUGGUUCCAACCUCGCAUACUUCCUGGAUGAGCUUGCGGAUGAUGCUCGUUCUGAUUACCACAAUUUAAUGGCCGCUGCCUUGGACGGCGAGUACGAGACCUGCGCUUUGUACGCCGAUCAGCUGAAACGGAGGUGCAUCGACCACUUUAAAGACGGUGUUCUCGGCCUCGAGCACCUGGCGGCCGUUGAUGGUCUCUGCGACCUCGUGUCGAAGGAGUUGGGGGUGGCUGAUCCGGUGAAGACUUACCAUGUCAAUCUGUCGCUUUUCACCUCGAUGCCUGAUUUCUGGGCGAUCGGGCAGCUCUUCCCCAUCGUUCCAAUUCAUCGUCUCGACCAGCGGCCGGCGAUCAAGGGGAUUCUAUCCGAUCUGACAUGCGACAGCGAUGGUAAGGUCGACCGGUUCAUCGGCGGGCAGUCGAGCCUGCCGCUUCACGAGCUCGGGGGAGGAGAUGGCUUGGGAGGCGGAUACUACCUGGGAAUGUUUCUUGGAGGGGCUUACCAGGAGGCGCUCGG
RNAcentral lists this long non-coding RNA (589 nucleotides) under Musa acuminata (dwarf banana). RNAcentral's name for it is "long non-coding RNA (MACU_LNC005395)". The record is from RNAcentral. Lineage: Eukaryota; Viridiplantae; Streptophyta; Magnoliopsida; Zingiberales; Musaceae.